This 253-nucleotide ribosomal RNA is filed under the name uncultured bacterium. Its description in RNAcentral is "partial 16S ribosomal RNA". It matches the Rfam family "Bacterial small subunit ribosomal RNA", at positions 524 to 776 of the family's 1533-position model. The record is from RNAcentral.
UACGGGGGGGGCAAGCGUUGUUCGGAAUUACUGGGCGUAAAGGGCCAGUAGGCGGCCAACUAAGUCCGACGUGAAAUCCCCAAGCUUAACUUGGGAACUGCGUCGGAUACUGGAUGGCUUGAAUUCGGGAGAGGGAUGCAGAAUUCCAGGUGUAGCGGUGAAAUGCGUAGAUAUCUGGAGGAAUACCGGUGGCGAAGGCGGCAUCCUGGACCGACAUUGACGCUGAGGAGCGAAAGCAUGGGGAGCGAACAGG